RNAcentral lists this ribosomal RNA (253 nucleotides) under uncultured bacterium. Its description in RNAcentral is "partial 16S ribosomal RNA". It matches the Rfam family "Bacterial small subunit ribosomal RNA", at positions 524 to 776 of the family's 1533-position model. The record is from RNAcentral.
UACGGAGGAUCCGAGCGUUAUCCGGAUUUAUUGGGUUUAAAGGGUGCGUAGGCGGCCCGUUAAGUCAGGGGUGAAAGACGGUAGCUCAACUAUCGCAGUGCCUUUGAUACUGGCGGGCUUGAAUGCACUAGAGGUAGGCGGAAUGAGACAAGUAGCGGUGAAAUGCAUAGAUAUGUCGCAGAACACCGAUUGCGAAGGCAGCUUACUAGAGUUCUAUUGACGCUGAGGCACGAAAGCGUGGGGAUCAAACAGG